AAAAAAAUAUAAUAAGAACUUGUGAGAACCUUUACAAAUCGAUUUUGAUACAUGAGAAAUAUGCAUGAUCUAGUCAGAAAAAUGAUAUAUUCAAAAUAAAGGAAAAAAAAUAUGGGUAAUAGUUGUGUUUGAUUCAGGUUCAAUAUAGUUCUAUUUGGGAACUGAAUUGAAAUCAAGCAUUCAGUACUUUAGUUUUUACACAUUAAAUUUGGAGCCAAAUUUUGAUUCCAGCUCUAAUUCGGUUUUAAGCAAAUUCGAUAUAGUUUCAACUUAAUUCCAGUUCUAUUUCAAUUUCAAUUUUGAUUUUAAUUUCAGCUCAAAUUUAAAUUUUUACACCUAAAAGUAUAAUAUUCUUGUGUUCAUUUUA
RNAcentral lists this unclassified non-coding RNA (367 nucleotides) under Hevea brasiliensis (rubber tree). Lineage: Eukaryota; Viridiplantae; Streptophyta; Magnoliopsida; Malpighiales; Euphorbiaceae. The record is from RNAcentral.